ACUGCUAUCGGGAUGGGACUAAGACAUGCUAGUCGUGCGUCUCCAAGCUAUGAUGGAGAAGCGGCGUACAGCUCAGUAACACGUGGCUAACCUACCCUCAGGAUGGGAACACCUCCGGGAAACUGGAGUUAAUUCCAAAUAGGUGAUGAAUACUGGAAUGUGUCAUCGCCCAAAGGGCAUUUAAAUCAUGCUUUUAGAUGCUGCCUAAGGAUGGGGCCGCGACCGAUCAGGUUGUUGGUGAGGUAAAGGCUCACCAAGCCGUUAACCGGUACGGGCCGUGAGAGCGGGAGCCCGGAGAUGGGCACUGAGAUAAGGGCCCAGGCCCUACGGGGCGCAGCAGUCGCGAAAACUUCGCAAUACGCGCAAGCGUGACAGAGGCCAUCCCGAGUGCCUUCCGCUGAGGAGGGCUUUUACCCAGUGUAAACAGCUGGGAGAAUAAGGAGAGGGCAAGCCUGGUGUCAGCCGCCGCGGUAACACCAGCCCCUCGAGUGGUGGGGAUGAUUAUUUGGCCUAAAGCGUCCGUAGCCGGCCGGGUAAGUUUCCCGUUAAAUCCAACGUCUCAAGCGUUGGACUGCGGGAAAUACUGCCUGGCUAGAGAGUGGGAGAGGUCAGCGGUAUUCUGGGGGUAGGGGCGAAAUCCUUUGAUCCCCGGAGGACCACCAGUGGCGAAGGCUGCUGACUAGAACACGUCUGACGGUCAGGGACGAAAGCUGGGGUAGCGAACCGGAUUAGAUACCCGGG
This 741-nucleotide ribosomal RNA is filed under the name uncultured crenarchaeote. RNAcentral's name for it is "bacterial SSU rRNA". It matches the Rfam family "Archaeal small subunit ribosomal RNA", at positions 26 to 741 of the family's 1478-position model. Lineage: Archaea; Thermoproteati; Thermoproteota. The record is from RNAcentral.